AGACUUAAGUGUGUGUUGUGCAUACAUUUCCAUCCGUUCCCCCCACCUCCACCACCCAUCCCAACCUAGAACUGGUUGUUAAACAUUUACUAACAUAGUGCUGCCCAUAUCCAUGCUGGUGAUUAUGUUUCACUCAGCACUUAUAAGAGUUUCUUUUGUUGUUCAGUUCUUUUAAGGGCGUGUUAAUCUCUAUGAUUUCCCAGUGAUUUUCUCCUCUCCCCAGUUCUUUCUACACAAGCAGAGUUUUUGUUGUUCCAAGGAAUGUAGUCAGUAUGGGUUUUGAGGAUCUUCAUAGGUUAUAGUAUUGAGUUAGAUGUAAUGAGAUAGAAUUCAAUAGUGAGACAUAUAAAAAUCGUAUAUACAUGCUCAAAGAAAUUAGUUUUACAAGAUGAGGGAAGUAUGGUUAGAACUUGUUCUAAAAAGCUCUUAGGGUGUUGGUAGGCUUUAAAGAUGCACUGAUGUGCUAAAGCAACCCAAAAAAGUUAAUUCAUUAAGUUUUGAGUUGUGUUAAGAAAGGACAACUUCCAAGAAUGGGGAAUCAAAGUCCCACUAUACUUUGCUCAUCAGAGCUCACCUGAAGUAUUGUUUUCAGAUCUGGUUGCCCUGGUUUAAGGAAAUUGAUAGACUGGAGUGUAGAGGAAGGUGCAUAGGAUGUUAUUGAAUCCAUUUCAUAUGAAGACUGGUUGAUAGAACUGGAGAUGUUUAGCCUUCAGAAGAGAAGACUAGAGAAAUGUGAAAGCUGCUUCUAAGUCAAGGCUUUCGGUCACCUCUUGCAUCCAGAAAGGUUUUUGCUGAAAGGUUGGCAGAUUCACAUAUGUGACCACUCCCAGGAAGGAAACAGAUUGAGCAGCAUUCUACCUGGCAUUUGUGAUAGUGCCCUCCAAGUCACUCCAAACACCUUGACUGGAUUAUAAUCCAUGCAACAACUCUUUCAAUGUGUGUGUGAGGAAAUAUGAAUGACUGAGCACAAAUUUAUCACUGUUGGGAAAAAAAAAAUCAAUUCACUUCAUAUUCUUGCAAAUGGCAGCUCUCCUGAUUCUGGCCCAGCUGAUCCCCAACCCCAGCAACUCUGGCCUCUGACCCAGAUCAAAGUUUGCCCCAGGAUGCUGGUAGCAGACCCAAUUUCUUCAGGAUCAAAAAACAGCUGGUAAAAACGGGGGUGUUCUUUCUUUAGGCUACAAUUAACCUCCAUGUGGCAGGGGGAGGGGACAGGGGACCACAGUGGGGGAGAAAGAGGAGAAGGAAAAGACUUUUCCAAACAUGAAGUUACAAGUAUGGCUGCUUAAUUUAAAAGGGUAUCUUUUGAGUGCAUUGAUCCCUUUAUUUAUAUCACCUGGUAUUCAGGGGAAAAAUUCAACUCCCUGCAAUUCUUUGGCCCAAUUUGAGAUUCCUAAAAUGUACCCUCACUAUGGGAAAGCAGCUCAGUGACUUAGUGGAUUGAGAGCCAGGCCUAGAGAUGGGAGGUCCUGGGUUCUAAUCUGGCUUCAGAGACUUCCCAGCUGUGUGACCCUGGGCAAGUCACUUCACCCCCAUUGCCUACCCCUUAC
Long non-coding RNA from Monodelphis domestica (gray short-tailed opossum), 1547 nucleotides. The record is from Ensembl. NCBI's taxonomy places the organism in Eukaryota, Metazoa, Chordata, Mammalia, Didelphimorphia, Didelphidae.